CCCAGUCGAGCGGCGAACGGGUGAGUAACGCGUGGAUUAUCUGCCCUGAGGUGGGGGAUAACCCGGGGAAACUCGGGCUAAUACCGCAUAAUACCGAGAGGUCAAAGGGGGCCGCAAGGCUCUCGCCAUGGGAGGAGUCCGCGUUCGAUUAGCUAGUUGGUAGGGUAAUGGCCUACCAAGGCGACGAUCGAUAGCCGGCCUGAGAGGGUGAUCGGCCACACUGGAACUGAGACACGGCCAG
RNAcentral lists this ribosomal RNA (241 nucleotides) under uncultured bacterium. RNAcentral describes it as "partial 16S ribosomal RNA". It matches the Rfam family "Bacterial small subunit ribosomal RNA", at positions 86 to 334 of the family's 1533-position model. The record is from RNAcentral.